UACAGAGACUGCAAGCGUUAUUCGGAUUCACUGGGCGUAAAGGGUGCGCAGGCGGCCAAGUGUGUUAGGCGUGAAAGCCCCGGGCUCAACCUGGGAAUUGCAUUCGAGACUGGAUAGCUAGGGUACGGAAGAGGGAAGCGGAAUUUCAGGUGUAGCGGUGAAAUGCGUAGAUAUCUGAAGGAACACCAGUGGCGAAAGCGGCUUCCUGGUCCAGUACCGACGUUCAGGCACGAAAGCGUGGGGAGCAAACAGG
RNAcentral lists this ribosomal RNA (253 nucleotides) under uncultured prokaryote. Its description in RNAcentral is "partial 16S ribosomal RNA". It matches the Rfam family "Bacterial small subunit ribosomal RNA", at positions 524 to 776 of the family's 1533-position model. The record is from RNAcentral.